Molecule: ribosomal RNA, 253 nt
Filed under: uncultured bacterium
Lineage: Bacteria
Description: partial 16S ribosomal RNA
Rfam family: Bacterial small subunit ribosomal RNA
Source: RNAcentral
UACGAAGGGGGCUAGCGUUGCUCGGAAUCACUGGGCGUAAAGCGCAUGUAGGCGGAUUGUUAAGUCAGGGGUGAAAUCCUGGAGCUCAACUCCAGAACUGCCUUUGAUACUGGCGAUCUCGAGUCCGGGAGAGGUGAGUGGAACUGCGAGUGUAGAGGUGAAAUUCGUAGAUAUUCGCAAGAACACCAGUGGCGAAGGCGGCUCACUGGCCCGGUACUGACGCUGAGGUGCGAAAGCCAGGGGAGCAAACGGG